UCUUCGUCUCGAUGGGCCUCCUCCCGGUCAUGAGCUCCACCAGCAGGACGCCGAAGGAGUAGACGUCGCUCUUCUCGGUGAGCUGGUAGGUGCGGAGGUACUCCGGGUCGAGGUAGCCGGCGGUGCCCUUGACCUGCGUCGAGAUGUGGGUGACGCCGGCGUCCACGGGGGUCAUGCGGGCGAAGCCGAAGUCGGCCACCUUCGCCCGCAGGCUGUCAGUGAGGAGGAUGUUCGACGAUUUGAUGUCUCGGUGGAUGAUCGGGUCGUCUUGCAGGAAAAAGGAUGGAGGAGGAGGACGAUCAGAAGCCGGCGGCGGAGGAGCAGCAGCAGAGCUCGUCGGAGGAGGAGGAGGAAGGGGGGGAGAGAGAGAGAGAGAGACGGCGGCCUACCGGCGUACAUGUGGAGGUAGGUGACGGCGUGUGCGACGUCGAUGGCGAUGUCCAGCCGGGAGGUGAGAUCGGGAGGGUCCCCCCGCAGGCCUGCGGCGGUCGCCAUGGAAGAAGCAGAUCAGUUCGAUGGUCAGCUGCUGAAGCCCAACUCGAGGGCGACCGGAGGUGAUCCGUCGGUCCAUCUCCACCUGAACCAGAGGGUCUGGAGCAUCCUCUCGCGGUGCUGGAUUGGGAAAUGGGGAGGGAGAACCAGAGCGGCGGCGAUGGAGGGAGGAGGUGGGGGCGGGGGGGAACUCACCGUCGAGAUGCUCCCGGAGGGUCCCGUUGGGGACGUACUCGAUGACGACGACCCUCUCGUCCUCGUGCUCCAGGUAUCCGUAGAAUCUGACCAGGUUCAGGUGCUCGAUGCAGGCCAGGAUCUGGAUCUCGCUCUUGAAUUCCACCCCGAGGUGCUUGUCGUGGAUGCUCUGCGAGAAGAGGAAGAGGAAGAAGAAAGAGAAGAAGAAUCCUAAGUCAGUCUCGCCCCCC
This 917-nucleotide long non-coding RNA is filed under the name Spirodela polyrhiza (greater duckweed). Its description in RNAcentral is "long non-coding RNA (SPOL_LNC000278)". The record is from RNAcentral. Lineage: Eukaryota; Viridiplantae; Streptophyta; Magnoliopsida; Alismatales; Araceae.